CCUACGGGAGGCAGCAGUGGGGAAUCUUGCGCAAUGGGCGAAAGCCUGACGCAGCAACGCCGCGUGCGGGAAGAAGGCCUUCGGGUUGUAAACCGCUUUCAGCAGGAACGAAAAUGACGGUACCUGCAGAAGAAGGAGCGGCCAACUACGUGCCAGCAGCCGCGGUGACACGUAGGCUCCAAGCGUUGUCCGGAUUUAUUGGGCGUAAAGAGCUCGUAGGCGGUUCAGUAAGUCGGGUGUGAAAACUCUGGGCUCAACCCAGAGCCUGCAUUCGAAACUGCUGUGACUAGAGUUUGGUAGGGGAGCGGGGAAUUCCUAGUGUAGCGGUGAAAUGCGCAGAUAUUAGGAGGAACACCGGUGGCGAAAGCGCCGCUCUGGGCCAAUACUGACGCUGAGGAGCGAAAGCGUGGGUAGCAAACAGGAUUAGAUACCCUGGUAGUCCACGCCGUAAACGAUGGGCACUAGGUGUGGGUUUCAACUAACGAAAUCCGUGCCGUCGCUAACGCAUUAAGUGCCCCGCCUGGGGAGGUACGGUCGCGAGACGUAAACGUACGAAGAAGUAGACGGUCGUGUACGUUAGCGACGACGACGACGAGGGAGGAGG
This 604-nucleotide ribosomal RNA is filed under the name uncultured bacterium. RNAcentral describes it as "bacterial SSU rRNA". It matches the Rfam family "Bacterial small subunit ribosomal RNA", at positions 338 to 953 of the family's 1533-position model. The record is from RNAcentral.